UCCCCGAAAGGGCAAACCUGCUGAAAGGCAGGGGCGCAAAACUAGAGGGUCUACAGCCUUCACGGGCCAUGACAGCCAGUUACCACG
Non-coding RNA from Moorella thermoacetica ATCC 39073, 87 nucleotides. NCBI's taxonomy places the organism in Bacteria, Bacillati, Bacillota, Clostridia, Neomoorellales, Neomoorellaceae. The record is from Rfam.